RNAcentral lists this transfer RNA (94 nucleotides) under Betaproteobacteria bacterium. RNAcentral's name for it is "tRNA-Leu". Lineage: Bacteria; Pseudomonadati; Pseudomonadota; Betaproteobacteria. The record is from RNAcentral.
CGGCGCUGCUGGUGUUGGUGGGCUUGCUGGCGCUCAAGGCGUUCGUGGUCUGGGCUGUGGCAAGACGCAUGGGUUCCACGCCCGGUAACGCCGU